CCUUCUUCUUCUUUAGGAAUGUCAUUUUCUUCUCCUUCUUUUCCUUCUUUUCUUUUUUUCCUUCUUCUCAUUCUCAUCAUUAUCACUAUUAAUAUGGACAUUUCGCUACAACAUGAUCCUUGCUCUUGCAUUUGUAGCAUCUUCUCACAUAUUCUUUGCUCUUGUUUUUAUCUCUUCUCUUUCUAACAUCAUAUCCCUUCUUCUUCAUGAAUUUACCAAACUUGCACACAAAGAGAGCUAGUGCUUCAUCGUCAAUGUCAUUAACUUCCUCAUCUUCACUUUAUUCUUCUUUAUUUGCUUUGCCCUUGCUCUUAGAUCAACUAGCCUUGAAUGCUACACUUUUCUUUUUCUUGUCUUCAUCCUUCUUCUCAUCUUAGUCAACCCUUUCCCUUUCCACACGGUAUGUUUCUUGUGUCAUGACAUCACCUAGUACUUGGUUAGGGGUAAGUUCUUUCAAUCCUCCUCUUAUAAUAAUUAAUCUUAGUGUCUCAAACCUUGGUUAGGGGUAUGUUUCUUGUGUCAUGACAUCACCUAGUGCUUGCUCCUAGGAUUCUUUAGUAUUUCGACUUAAAAAUACUAGUAAGUUCUUGUUUUAUUGUUCUUUGGUUUAUGAGUUUACUUUAAUCUCUUCGCGUAGAGUUUGGAGUAAUCAUCUCUAGCAUAGACGUGGUGUUUGGGCUAGGAUACUCAUAGAUAUCUCCUGACUAGCUGGACCGUGGUAGUAGCGAGGAACGUGAGAUUUCUGAGUUACCUUUGCAGCCCAUAUCCCGUUAGUAGGAUCGAUAGGGUUUAUAGGUGCGGGUUGAACAUCCUCUGUGGUGUCUAGAUUCUGUGAGCCUCCCCAACAGAAUAUUAGAUUUCCUUACCA
RNAcentral lists this long non-coding RNA (868 nucleotides) under Sorghum bicolor (sorghum). RNAcentral's name for it is "long non-coding RNA (SBIC_LNC005232)". Lineage: Eukaryota; Viridiplantae; Streptophyta; Magnoliopsida; Poales; Poaceae. The record is from RNAcentral.